GCUCUUGUAGUCUAGUGGUCAAGGAUUCCGCCCUCUCGCGGCGGGGACCCGGGUUCGAAUCCCGGCAGGAGCA
This 73-nucleotide transfer RNA is filed under the name Candidatus Pacearchaeota archaeon. Its description in RNAcentral is "tRNA-Glu". It matches the Rfam family "tRNA". From Rfam's summary of the family: Transfer RNA (tRNA) molecules are approximately 80 nucleotides in length. Their secondary structure includes four short double-helical elements and three loops (D, anti-codon, and T loops). Further hydrogen bonds mediate the characteristic L-shaped molecular structure. tRNAs have two regions of fundamental functional importance: the anti-codon, which is responsible for specific mRNA codon recognition, and the 3' end, to which the tRNAs corresponding amino acid is attached (by aminoacyl-tRNA synthetases). tRNAs cope with the degeneracy of the genetic code in two manners: having more than one tRNA (with a specific anti-codon) for a particular amino acid; and 'wobble' base-pairing, i.e. permitting non-standard base-pairing at the 3rd anti-codon position. The record is from RNAcentral. Lineage: Archaea; Nanobdellati.